AGAUUAAGCCAUGCAUGUCUCAGUGCAGGCCUUAAUACGGUGAAACCGCGAAUGGCUCAUUAAAUCAGCUAUGGUUUAUUGGAUCGUACCCGUUAAAUGGAUAACUGUAAUAACUCUAGAGCUAAUACAUGCCAUGAUGCCCUGACCCUCGCUAGCUGCCACGGUGGCUUGUUGGGGGAUGGGUGCACUUAUUAGAUCAGAAGCCAACCAGCACAUGCGUCUGCGCUCUUUUUGGGGCGAGGGCGUGUGGGCUGUAGUACUUCUGGUGACUCUGGAUAAUUGUUACAGAUCGCAGUCGGCCUUGAGUCGGCGACGGGUCCUUCAAAUGUCUGCCCUAUCAACUUUCGAUGGUAGGUGACCUGCCUACCAUGGUGAUAACGGGUAACGGGGAAUCAGGGUUCGAUUCCGGAGAGGGAGCCUGAGAAACGGCUACCACUUCCAAGGGAGGCAGCAGGCGCGCAAAUUACCCACUCCCAGUACGGGGAGGUGGUGACGAAAAAUACCGAUGCGGGACUCAAUUUUGAGGCUCCGUAAUCGGAAUGAGUGGAAUCUAAAUCCUUUCACGAGGAUCAAUUGGAGGGCAAGUCUGGUGCCARCAGCCGCGGUAACUCCAGCUCNAAUAGCGUAUAUUAAAGUUGCUGCAGUUAAAAARCYYCGUAGCUUGAYCYCGGUGGCANUNGUGCUGCANGAGUAUUCAGGCGGUAAUNUUUYNCCCAANAYNCCANGUAANCNNNNGGUAAUYCCCCCGYNNCUGNUGCCUNAVCCNNRGGCNNCCUNAUGCUGCGCCCUUNUGCGUUNNNGGGCUNGCUCUUUGAACAAAUUUGAGUGCUCAAAUCAGGCCGAUGUUGCCUGAAAAGUUUUGCAUGGAAUAAUGGAAUAGGACUUCGGUUCUAUUUCGUUGGUUUUCGGAUCCGAAGUAAUGAUCAAAAGAGACAGGCGGGGACGUUUGUACGGCUGCGCUAGAGGUGAAAUUCAUGGACCGUAGCCAGACAAACUAAAGCGAAAGCAUUCGUCAAGCAUGUUUUCAUUGGCCAUGAGCGAAAGUCAGAGGCUCGAAGACGAUCAGAUACCGUCCUAGUUCUGACCAUAAACGAUGCCAACUGACGAUCCGUGGUGGUAGUUUUUAUACCUUCCCCACGGGCAGUCCCCGGGAAACCUUUAAGUCUUUGGGUUCCGGGGGAAGUAUGGUUGCAAAGCUGAAACUUAAAGGAAUUGACGGAAGGGCACCACCAGGAGUGGAGCCUGCGGCUUAAUUUGACUCAACACGGGAAAACUCACCCGGGCCGGACACUAUGAGGAUUGACAGAUUGAUAGCUCCUUCCUGAAUUGGUGGUUGGUGGUGCAUUGCCGUUCUUAGUUGGUGGAGCGAUUUGUCUGGUUAAUUCCGAUAACGAACGAGACUCCAGCCUGCUAA
This 1414-nucleotide ribosomal RNA is filed under the name Andrya cuniculi. RNAcentral's name for it is "partial 18S ribosomal RNA". It matches the Rfam family "Eukaryotic small subunit ribosomal RNA", at positions 41 to 1365 of the family's 1831-position model. The record is from RNAcentral. Lineage: Eukaryota; Metazoa; Platyhelminthes; Cestoda; Cyclophyllidea; Anoplocephalidae.